GAUGAACGCUAGCGGCAGGCCUAAUACAUGCAAGACGAACGGUAAGUUGAGUAGCAAUACUUAGCCAAGAGUGUCGUACGGGUGCGUAACACGUAUGCAACCUACCCUAUACAGGAGGAUAGCCUAGGGAAACCUGGAUUAACCCUUCAUAGUAUUAUUGGAUGGCAUCAUUUGAUAAUUAAAACUGAGGUGGUAUAGGAUGGGCAUGCGUCUGAUUAGUUAGUUGGCGGGGUAAUGGCCCACCAAGACGAUGAUCAGUAGGGGUUCUGAGAGGAAGAUCCCCCACACUGGCACUGAGAUACGGGCCAGACUCCUACGGGAGGCAGCAGUAGGGAAUAUUGGUCAAUGGAUGCAAGUCUGAACCAGCCAUGCCGCGUGCAGGAAGAAGGCCUCUGGGUUGGUUAAACUAGCUUUUGUCCA
RNAcentral lists this ribosomal RNA (420 nucleotides) under uncultured bacterium. RNAcentral describes it as "bacterial SSU rRNA". It matches the Rfam family "Bacterial small subunit ribosomal RNA", at positions 28 to 442 of the family's 1533-position model. The record is from RNAcentral.